GAAUAUAGAUGAGAGCAGGUUCAUGGAGAUAUGUUCAAACAAUUGAGUUACCCUCUGAUAUUUUCUUCUUUCAUUGGUUCUGGAUGUCAGAUAUUUGCUGUGUAUUUUAUCAUUAUUAUUGUUGCCAUGAUAGAGAAUUUAUGUACAAAUGGGAGUUUGAUUCUCAGUUCAGACAUGUUUGUCUGUGCUGCUACAUCUCCAGUGAUGGGAUUGUGGAGGAAGUCUGUAUGCUAGAAUAAGAGGAAGAUGAAUAAAGCAGAUAUUUAUUGGGACAUUCCUUAUCUCAGCUAUGCUGUGUGGGACUGCAUUCUUUAUCAGUUUUAUAGUCAUUUAUUACCAUGCUUCUAGAGCCAUUCCUUUUGGAACAAUGGUGGCCAUUUUCUGCAUCUGCAUCUGCUUUUGUGGGUUUUUUUGUUUGUUUGUUUGUUUUUGUUUUGUUUUGUUUUUCUAUUCUUCCUAUAAAUCUUGGUACAAUACUUGGUUGAAAACUGUCAGGUCAGCCCAACUUCCCUUGUCAAUUCAAUGCUGUGCCUCAUCCUAUCCCAGAGGAAAAAAAAAUGGUUCUAUAGAGCCUGCAGUUAUUAUUUGCCUGGGAAGAAUUUUACCUUUUGGCUCAAUUUUUAUUGAAAUGCAUUUCAUCUUCAUGGCUUUCUGGGCAUAUAAGAUCUAUGGCUUUAUGAUUGUGGCACUGGUCACUUUGUGCAUUAUAACCAUCUUUGUGACCAUUGUGUGC
This 733-nucleotide long non-coding RNA is filed under the name Mus musculus (house mouse). Its description in RNAcentral is "long non-coding RNA chrX:112012719-112013452". Lineage: Eukaryota; Metazoa; Chordata; Mammalia; Rodentia; Muridae. The record is from RNAcentral.